Molecule: RNA transcript, 3321 nt
Organism: Aquila chrysaetos chrysaetos
Lineage: Eukaryota; Metazoa; Chordata; Aves; Accipitriformes; Accipitridae
Gene name: E3 ubiquitin-protein ligase TRIM62
Exons: 7
Source: RefSeq, a predicted model, not a curated record
CCCACACCCCCCCCCAGCCUCUCCCCCAGCCCCAAGCCAUGGCUUGCAGCCUGAAGGACGAGCUGCUCUGCUCCAUCUGCCUGAGCAUCUACCAGGACCCAGUGAGCUUCGGCUGCGAGCACUACUUCUGCCGCCGGUGCAUCACCGAGCACUGGGUACGUCAGGAACCCCAGGGCACCCGUGACUGCCCCGAGUGUCGCCGAACCUUCACCGAACCCACCCUGGCCCCCAGCCUUAAGCUGGCCAACAUCGUGGAGCGUUACAGCGCCUUCCCCUUGGAUGCCAUCCUGGGUGCCCAACGCAGCCCCUUCCCCUGCAAAGACCACGAGAAGGUCAAGCUCUUCUGCCUCACUGACCGCGCCGUUGUCUGCUUCUUCUGCGAUGAGCCCGCCGUGCACGAGCAGCACCAGGUCACCAACGUGGACGAUGCUUUCGAGGAGCUGCAGCGGGAGCUGAAGGAGCAGCUCCAGGGGCUGCAGGAGAGUGAGCGUGGUCACACUGAAGCCCUGCACCUCCUCAAACGGCAGCUGGCCGAGACCAAGUCCUCAGCUAAGAGCCUGCGGGUGACUAUCGGGGAGGCUUUCGAGCGGCUGCACCGGCUGCUGCGGGAGCGGCAGAAGGCGAUGCUGGAGGAGCUGGAGGCGGACACGGCGCGGACGCUGACUGACAUCGAGCAGAAGAUCCAACGCUACAGCCAGCAGCUCCGCAAGGUGCAGGAGGGCAGCCAGAUCCUCCAGGAGCGCUUGGCCGAAGCCGACAAACACGUCUUUUUAGCCGGUGUUGCGUCCCUUUCCGAGAGGCUGAAGGGGAAGAUCCACGAGACCAACCUGACCUACGAGGACUUUCCCACCUCCAAAUACAUGGGGCCACUGCAGUACACCAUCUGGAAAUCCCUUUUCCAGGAUAUCCAUCCCGUGCCGGCAGCCCUGACGUUGGACCCUGGCACGGCUCACCACCGCCUCAUCCUCUCCGAUGACUGCACCAUCGUGGCCUACGGCAACCUGCACCCCCAACCGCUGCAGGACUCCCCCAAACGCUUCGACGUGGAGGUCUCGGUCUUGGGUUCAGAGGCGUUCGGCGGCGGGGUCCACUACUGGGAGGUGGUGGUCUCCGAGAAGACCCAGUGGAUGAUUGGUUUGGCCCACGAAGCUGUCACUCGCAAGGGCAGCAUCCAAAUUCAACCCAGCCGAGGUUUUUAUUGCAUCGUCAUGCACGAUGGUAACCAGUACAGCGCCUGCACCGAGCCCUGGACCCGGCUCAAUGUCAAGAGCAAGCUGGAGAAGGUGGGGGUCUUCCUGGACUAUGACAAGGGGCUUCUCAUCUUCUACAAUGCUGACGACAUGUCCUGGCUCUACACCUUUCGGGAGAGGUUUCCUGGCAAGCUCUGCUCUUAUUUUAGCCCCGGGCAGAGUCACGCCAAUGGGAAGAACGUCCAACCCCUCCGGAUCAACACCGUUCGCAUCUAACAGGGAGGGGGGAUUUGACUCCCGGGGUUCGGCGUGUGCCCCAUCCCCCCCCCCCCCCCACCCCUGGGUGUUUUCCCGCUGUUUGGUGGAGGUUUCAGCUGAUCCUGCCCCAGGAACUGCCCCCGGCGCUGGGCAGGAUCUGGCCUUUUUGCCCCCCCGUCCCCCCUUCUCUCUGUCCUGUGCUUCCAGGAGGGUCCCGGUGCUGGGGGGGCGAGGGGGGGUCCGGGCUGCUGCAAUAAAAGGAUUUGGAGAGAAGGGGCCGGGUAGUGGAGAACCACUGGGCAGAGGGGGUGAUGCUGGCAUGUGCCAUAUGGCACCCUGGCAUGCUGUGCUGUGCCAUAUGUGCUGCACUGUGCCAUGGUGCGCUCUGGCGUGCCACACUAUACGUACUGUGCCAUGCCAUAUUUAUGGCACUGUGCCAUUGUGCACCAUGUGCUGCACCGUACGUACCGUACUGUGCCGUGGUGCACCAUGUUGUGGUGUGCUGUGCCAUGCUGGAUGUACUGGGCCGCGCCAUGCCGUUCCAUAUGUGCUGCACCGUGCCACGGUGCACCGUGGUGUACCAUGCUAUAGGUUACUGUCCCGUACAUACCGUGCCAUGCUAUACCAUGCACCGUACCUCAGUGCACUGUGCCAUGCCGUAUAUACUGCCCCGUGCUGUGGUGCACUGUGCCAUACUGGACCGUGCUGUGCCACGCUAUACGUAGUGCUCCAUGCCGUGGUGCGGCACCGUGCUGUGCCACGCUAUACGUAGUGCUCCAUGCCGUGGUGCGCCGUGCCAUGCCAUACUGUGCUGUGCCACGCCGGACGUGGUGCCCGUGCCGUGCCAUGGUAUACCGUGUGCCAUGCUGGCAGAGCCCUGGGGACACUGGGAGGGGUCCAUAUAGGGGAUGCUGCCUGUGUAUAGGAGUAGUUCCUGUAUAGGGGGUGCUGCCUAUGGGGCUGUGCUGUGGGGAGGGGCUGGGCUGUGGGAGGUGUAUGUAUAUAGGGGGGACACGACGUGGAGAGCAGGGCUGUGCUGUAGGGCCCUGCACGUGUGUCAGGCUGUGUUGGGGCUGGGCUGUAUAGGGGGUAUGAUAUAUAGGGGUUGUCAUGUAUAUAGGGGUGGGCUAUACAGGGGAUGUGAUAUAUAGGGGUGGGCUGUAUAGGGGGUGGGCUGUCCAGGGGCAGGGCUAUGUAGGAGGUGGGCUAUACGGGGGUAUGAUAUAUAGGGGGUGUGAUAUAGAUAUAUGGGACAGCGGCAUAGAUCUAUAGGGGCAGCGGGGGAAUGGGGGGCCCCGCCGCAGCUCCCCUCCCGCCCGCCAGGCGGCGCUGCUGCGACCCGCCGCCCUCUCUACGGUUCCGCUUGGGCGCGCGGCGGCGGUAGCCGGUGCAUGCGCGCUGCCCACACCCCCCCCCCCCAUCCCCAUCCGCGCAGGCGGCACUUUUGCGCAUGCGCCGCAGGCCGGGCAGCCGCGCGCCGAGAGGGCGGGGCCCCGCCGCCAUCUUGCCCCGGGCACUGCCCCGCCGCCAUGGAGCCCAGUGGGGGGGGGGCGGAAGGAGAGGCCGAAGCCCCGGGAGCCAGCGGCUCGCCUGGAGAAGGCCAAGCAGAAAUCAGCUCAGCAGGAGCUGAAGCAGAGGCAGCGGGCAGAGAUCUACGCCCUCAACCGAGUGAUGACAGAGCUGGAGCAGCAGCAGUUUGAUUCCUUCUGCAAGCAGAUGCAGGCCUCCGGCGAGUGAGGCAGCAUGUGCAGCCCCCCCAGACAACCCCAGACCCCCCCAUCUGCUGCCCAUUCCCUUUUCUAAACUCUUUGUUAUUUAUUAUCAAAUAACUGCUUUUUUUUUUUUUUUUUCUAAAUAAAAUCUGUGAUGGUUC